Molecule: ribosomal RNA, 293 nt
Filed under: uncultured bacterium
Lineage: Bacteria
Description: partial 16S ribosomal RNA
Rfam family: Bacterial small subunit ribosomal RNA
Source: RNAcentral
GUGUCAGCAGCCGCGGUAAUACAGAGGGUGCGAGCGUUGUUCGGAAUUACUGGGCGUAAAGCGCGCGCAGGCGGCUCUUUAAGUCCACUGGUCAAAUGCCGGGGCUCAACCCCGUGCCCGCCAGGGAUACUGGAGAGCUGGAGACAUGUAGAGGCAAGCGGAAUUCCGGGUGUAGCGGUGGAAUGCGUAGAGAUCCGGAAGAACACCGGAGGCGAAGGCGGCUUGCUGGGCAUGGUCUGACGCUGAGGCGCGAAAGCGUGGGGAGCGAACAGGAUUAGAAACCCCUGUAGUCC